RNAcentral lists this transfer RNA (87 nucleotides) under Gammaproteobacteria bacterium. Its description in RNAcentral is "tRNA-Leu". It matches the Rfam family "tRNA". From Rfam's summary of the family: Transfer RNA (tRNA) molecules are approximately 80 nucleotides in length. Their secondary structure includes four short double-helical elements and three loops (D, anti-codon, and T loops). Further hydrogen bonds mediate the characteristic L-shaped molecular structure. tRNAs have two regions of fundamental functional importance: the anti-codon, which is responsible for specific mRNA codon recognition, and the 3' end, to which the tRNAs corresponding amino acid is attached (by aminoacyl-tRNA synthetases). tRNAs cope with the degeneracy of the genetic code in two manners: having more than one tRNA (with a specific anti-codon) for a particular amino acid; and 'wobble' base-pairing, i.e. permitting non-standard base-pairing at the 3rd anti-codon position. The record is from RNAcentral. Lineage: Bacteria; Pseudomonadati; Pseudomonadota; Gammaproteobacteria.
GCCCCGGUGGCGGAACGGGUAGACGCUGCGGACUUAAAAUCCGCUGGCCGCAAGGCCAUACAGGUUCGAUUCCUGUCCGGGGCACAA